GACGAACGCUGGCGGCGUGCUUAACACAUGCAAGUCGAACGGAAAGGCCCUGCUUUUGUGGGGUGCUCGAGUGGCGAACGGGUGAGUAACACGGGAGUAACCUGCCCUUGACUUUGGGAUAACUUCAGGAAACUGGGGCUAAUACCGGAUAGGAGCUCCUGCUGCAUGGUGGGGGUUGGAAAGUUUCGGCGGUUGGGGAUGGACUCGCGGCUUAUCAGCUUGUUGGUGGGGUAGUGGCUUACCAAGGCUUUGACGGGUCGCCGGCCUGAGAGGGUGACCGGCCUCAUUGGGACUGAGAUACGGCCCAGCCUCCUACGGGAGGCAGCAGUGGGGAGUAUUGCACAAUGGGCGGAAGCCUGAUGCAGAAACGCCGCGUGCGGGAUGACGGCCUUCGGGUUGUAAACCGCUUUCGCCUGUGACGAAGCGUGAGUGACGGUAAUGGGUAAAGAAGCACCGGCUAACUACGUG
Molecule: ribosomal RNA, 468 nt
Filed under: uncultured bacterium
Lineage: Bacteria
Description: partial 16S ribosomal RNA
Rfam family: Bacterial small subunit ribosomal RNA
Source: RNAcentral